AUGUCGGCGGUGGACGCCAUCCUCGCGGAGGCGGCCGACCUGGUCGCGCUGGAGCAGAUCGCCAGGCUCAACACCGCGCACCUAGCCGGCCUCGACGACUCGGCGCUCCCG
This 111-nucleotide ribosomal RNA is filed under the name Triticum aestivum (bread wheat). RNAcentral describes it as "partial small subunit ribosomal RNA". Lineage: Eukaryota; Viridiplantae; Streptophyta; Magnoliopsida; Poales; Poaceae. The record is from RNAcentral.